CACUUCUAAGGAAGGCAGCAGGCGCGCAAAUUACCCAAUCCUGACUCAGGGAGGUAGUGACAAGAAAUAACAAUAAACCGGCUUAUGCCGGUUUAAUUGGAAUGAGUACAAUUUAAACAUCUUAACGAGGAACAAUUGGAGGGCAAGUCUGGUGCCAGCAGCCGCGGUAAUUCCAGCUCCAAUAGCGUAUACUAAAGUUGUUGCAGUUAAAAAGCUCGUAGUUGGAUUUCUGUGGGGACGGAGCGGCCGGCCGCAACUCGCGGUUCGAGCUAGCGCUUUCCCUACAUCCUGCCGCGAACCGUGCUACCAUUAAUUUGGUGGCGCUGGGGAUCGGCUCGAUUACUUUGAGAAAAAUAGAGUGUUCAAAGCAGGCCACACGCCUUGAAUAAGUUAGCAUGGAAUAAUAACUAAGGACUUCGGUUCUAUUUUGUUGGUGUUCGGGACUGAAGUAAUGAUUGAUAGGGACAGUUGGGGCGGUCUGUAUUCCAAAGCGAGAGGUGAAAUUCUUAGACCUUCGGAAGACAAACAGCUGCGAAAGCGUUCCGCAAGGAUGUUCCCUUUGAUCAAGAACGAAAGUUGGGGGAUCGAAGACGAUCAGAUACCGUCGUAGUCUCAACUAUAAACUAUACCAGCUAGGGAUCGGCCAACGUUAUUCUAUACCGACUUGGUCGGCACCUUAUGAGAAAUCAAAGCAUCUGGGUUCCGGGGGGAGUAUGGUCGCAAGGCUGAAACUUAAAGGAAUUGACGGAAGGGCACCACCAGCCGUGGAGCCUGUGGCUUAAUUUGACUCAACACGGGAAAACUUACCAGGUCCAGACAUAGUAAGGAUUGACAGAUUGAUAGCUCUUUCUUGAUUCUGUGGGUGGUGGUGCAUGGCCGUUCUUAGUUGGUGGAGUGAUUUGUCUGGUUAAUUCCGUUAACGAACGAGACCCCAGCCUGCUAAAUAGCGCGUGUGAGCUUUGCUCGCAGCGAGCUUCUUAGAGGGACUAUGAUGCGCGAUAGCACAUGGAAGUUUGGGGCAAUAACAGGUCUGUGAUGCCCUUAGAUGUUCUGGGCCGCACACGGGCUACACUGGCGCCUGCAACGAGCAUAUCAGCUGGCCCGAGAGGGUCUUGGCUAAUCUUUUGAACCGGCGCCGUGCUUGGGAUUGACCUUUGCAAUUGUUGGUCAUGCAACGAGGAAUGCCUUGUAAACGCGAGUCAUCAGCUCGCAUUGAAUACGUCCCUGCCCUUUGUACACACCGCCCGUCGCUCCUACCGAUGAAUGUUCCGAUGAAAUUUUCGGAGAGUGCCUGUGAACUUGGCUCUGCCUUGCGAACGGGAAGCUCAAAGUCACUUAAAUCUGAACAUUUC
RNAcentral lists this ribosomal RNA (1352 nucleotides) under uncultured marine eukaryote. RNAcentral describes it as "SSU rRNA". It matches the Rfam family "Eukaryotic small subunit ribosomal RNA", at positions 411 to 1775 of the family's 1831-position model. The record is from RNAcentral.